GGGCGGGGCGCCGAGCAGGGCGCCGAGCCUCCGGGAGCGUCCAAGUCGCCGCCGCCACAGCCGCCGCCGCCGCCGGGGGCUUGGCGCGCCCCGCCACCCCGGGCCGCUGGGUGCCGCGGCCGCCGGCGGAACAUGGCGCCCUGUACGCUGUGGCGCUGCUGCCAGCGCAGCGUGGGCUGGGUGCCGGUGCUCUUCAUCACCUUCGUGGUCGUGUGGUCCUACUACGCGUACGUGGUGGAGCUCUGCGUGUUUACUCUUUCCGGAAAUGGAGAAAACGGAAAGGCCGUUGUUUACCUUGUGGCUUUCCAUCUGUUCUUUGUUAUGUUUGUAUGGUCCUAUUGGAUGACAAUUUUCACAUCUCCCGCUUCCCCCUCCAAAGAGUUCUACUUGUCCAGUUCCGAGAAGGAACGUUACGAGAAGGAGUUCAGCCAGGAAAGACAACAGGAGAUUCUGAGAAGAGCGGCGAGGGGCUUGCCUGUCUACACCACGUCGGCGACACAGACCAUCAGAUACUGUGAGAGAUGUCAGCUGAUUAAGCCCGACCGCGCGCAUCACUGCUCAGCAUGUGACAUAUGUGUUCUUAAGAUGGAUCAUCACUGUCCUUGGGUGAACAACUGUGUGGGAUUUUCUAAUUACAAAUUCUUCCUGCUGUUUUUACUGUACUCUCUACUGUACUGCCUUUUUGUGGCUACAACAGUUUUACAGUACUUUAUAAAAUUUUGGACGAAUGAACUCUCAGAUACACGUGCAAAAUUCCACGUACUUUUUCUGUUCUUUGUGUCUACAAUGUUCUUCAUCAGCGUAUUGUCACUUCUCAGCUACCACUGCUGGCUUGUUGGAAAGAACAGAACAACCAUAGAAUCGUUCCGUGCUCCCACAUUUUCAUAUGGACCUGAUGGAAAUGGCUUCUCUCUUGGAUGCAGUAAAAAUUGGAGACAAGUCUUUGGUGAUGAAAAGAAAUAUUGGCUACUACCAGUAUUUUCAAGUCAGGGGGAUGGCUGCAGUUUUCCGACUCGCCUUGUGGGGACAGAUCCAGAACAAGCUUCCGUUUCAAACCAAAGUGAAAGUGGCAGAAGAUCUAUACUGCAGAGGUAGAAAGCAGAAAACUUGGGAAAUGACAGUAUUGGCUCAAAUCAACCCUUUCCUAUCAAGCCGCUUAGCGAAUCAAAAAACCGCUUGUUGGACAGUGAAUCUCAGUGGCUGGAAGAUGGAGCUGAAGAAGGCGUGGUCAGACCAGGGACAAAUAAUCAUGUUACAGUGGCCGUAGAAAAUUGAGUACCACUUGUUCAUAACUAACCAAUUGACUAAGACCAAGGUUUAUAAAAAAACAUUAUCGACUGAUAUUUUCAGUUUUAUGUGCAAGAAAAUGAUCCAUGGAAUGAAGUGAUUGAAGUAUAACCGAAGAUAUAUUUUUUGAAAAAGGAACCCUUUGUACAGCUUUGCUGGAUCCACAGAAGCACUGCUCAGCGCGGGAAGAUGCCUUAACCCUAAAGGAGCCCAUUUGUUCAGCACUGACUUCAUGGCCACAAACAUGACCUAACUUACUUACCGCUAGGAAUUGCUGUAACAUCAGGUCACACAUUACCAUGGCAUAUGUAUUUUUUGGAUACUUGAGCUACAUUAUUAGAGCUGUUUCUUAGUAUCUGUAUAAAUUUUCACUCCAGAAACACAAGCUAAAAACAUGUCUUGGAGUUGCUGUUAUGGUUCUGUGGAAACGAAUCUGACUAGUAUCCAUGAGGACGCAGCUUCGAUCCUUGGCCUCGAUCAGUGGGUUAAGGAUCCGAUGUUGCCGUGAGCUGUGGAAUAGGUCGCAGACGUGGCUCAGAUCUGGCGUUGCUGUGGCCGUGGCAUAGGCCAGCGGCUACAGCUCAGAUUCGACCCCCAUGUGCCAUGGGUGCAGCCCUAAAAAGACAAAAAAAAAACAAAAACCAACCAACAAACAAGCAUGUCUUAAGUGAACAGCUAGGUCCGUAUGGUGGCUGAAAGGGAAUAAUAAUAAUCAAAUUACUGUUGCCUGUACUGUGUAAGAAAAAGAAAAGAAUUGCUUUUAAAAAAAAAUUGGUGAUUGCUGAUUUAUAGUUACCGUUUUAUACUUUUCAACAUUUUUAAUAAAGAUUUUUUAAUUGUUGGCUAUAAAAUAACACUCAGAAGGGUUUAGAUACCUAAUAUAGUCGUUUAAAACAUGGGACACAUUUGUAUAACUCAUUGAAGGCUUAGAUCUGAGCAUUAAUUAAACUACAUGUGGUGGUGUGCCCAAGGCUUAAAGGAAAUUUGGCAGCAUAAGAAAUUUUUUCUCUUUGCUUAAAAAAACUACUUCUUUUGUGGAAUUUCCAAGGUUACCUAAUACAGUAGGGAAUCGUAGGUUACAUGUGCUAUAGAAAUACUGGACACAGCAGGAUUGCAGGAGUGGCCAGAACAGGACAGAGAGUCAGCCAAGCUCGAGGUCGCACACGUUUUCAGAGCGCUGCCCGCUGCUGAGUCAGCUCUCGCAUUGCAAUCCGAGUCAUGACUGAAGUUUGCUUUGAAACUUUCUGUAGUAAUCUUAUAACAGCUUAAACAGUGACUUAAAAUGCAGUUUGAACUAGGCUAAAACUGUUUAGCACAACACUGCUCUCCAGAAAGCAAUUCUCAUCCGAGUAGUCAUUCAAAGCUUCAGUUUUUUGCGAGAGAGAUUCCACUCUUAAAUGCAGGAUUUUAAACCUCAUCCCUUUCUGCCUUGACAUGUAUCCACUUUUUCCUUUUGAAAUCCAAUCCAGGUGACAGGAAUUGUUGCAUUAACGCUAGAGAAAGGUGGGGUUGGGGGGUGUCUCGGAUGAUCCGGACUGGACGCUGGCUGACUCCCCCUUCUGCAGUUUCUGAUUUUGCACAGUACAUUCAUCCGGCAGACAUUUCGGAGUUCCUUCUGGAUGCCAAACAAUGUACUAGGGAGAGCUCUGUGAUGUCCUAACGUAGCACACCUUUUGCAGCCAGCGAAUCCAGGUUUACAGUUUACAGGGUUUGUGUGCUUCCCUGGGCCGUAUUAACAGUAGAUUUUUGAAGGAAGUAAUGUUUUUCCCUUUGAACUAGAGGAAUGAGGUGGCUUUGAAAAUGUGGUUUGAAACACUGUCGUGCAGCUUCUCUCAUGUCCACUCUGUGGUCCUGUGUGAGAGUUAACGGGUCUCACUUAUCAGCCGAGAAACAUCACAUCGCUGAUAGUUUGCAUAGAUCAUAAAGGCGUCGUAACUGCCAAAUGACUGCCUUCAGAAGUCACUUCUUAGGGACCUUUCUAUAUUCGGGUCAGAGGAUUUGCGUGUAACUGAUCAACAACUGAGCGAACUUUGUUUCCCCUUAACCUGCGCGGGGCUCUUGCGGUGUCCUCCUGUUUCCAGUCCUUUCUGCUCGGCACCGUCAUCCUCCUCACGGCACCGUAAGCACCUGCUCGUUUCUCUUCUUCGUUUAAUUGUUACCAUAAGCACCUUUUGCUAACUUUUCAGCUAAAGCCCUUCACUUUGGCUGCCUUUGCUUUCGUUCUCGGGUGGCCAGCAUUGGCCAGGUUCUGAAAAGCCCUCGACUGAGUCUGCUCGUACGUGUGGAUGACCCCUCGGCGGGACCCACACGUUCCCUGGAACUCGGGGAACGGCGCCUCUUUGGUGUGUGGGCUGUGUUGAUGAGGGCUGUCAGCUCUGGGGAGAAGCGCUCACGGCGACGCCCUGUCGAAUGUGUUGGUACUGUCCUCAUUCCUUCAGAGGCUUGAACGCUGGCAGGGGUAUCUAAGGAAGAGCGAGUUGAAUUUCAGGUCUUGCCAUUGCCAUUAACAACAGGUUAGACAACCGGGCACAGACUCACUUGAAUGUUCAGUACCUGAGGCGUCUGACCACGGUCACUGUGCCAAACCAAAGAGCAGCUGCAGCUCAGUGGUCACUAAACAUUCACUGCUUACCGAGUUUAGCUUUGUCUUUGCAUGUGGGUGAUUUUUUUUUUUUAAUCCUUAUACAUAUUUAGUGGUGAUGAUCCAGUGUAUCAUAAGUUAAUUUAACUCUAAGUUCAGUUUAAAUCAAAUAGGCAGUGUUUACUUGAAUUUUAUUUCUAUUAGAAAGCAGAUUUUGACUGUAGGAUUGUUUAAAUUACAGGUUUUCAGCUAUGUCAUCUCUAAAGCAGAUGCAUAUUAAAGGGCUAAGUAUUAGGAUCUGCAUAAUUGGGGCACUGAAAAGACAAAUGACUUACAAAUAUGUUUUGCUAAUAUUUUGUUCUAGGACUAGUACCGCUGUCAGUGGAAAGUAUUUUUAACUAAUCUAUUAUUGAGAAAUUAAUUCUAUUUUUGCACUUCAGCCCAAAUAAAGACCAUAUCUAAUAUUCUGUAAGAUACAGCUAGUGUGUAAACCUGAAAUUCAUGUGUUUCAUAUGAUCUGAACUGUAUUUUCCAGCUUAAAUUAAAAAUGCCGUAUAGAUUCAGAAAGUUUCGUAUUUUUCUAAUGACUUCACUUUAUAUUAUUUUGUUGCAUUGCAUAAAGAAGUAAGGAAUUGUAUUUGUAUUAAAAGCUUCUGAAAGGUAUUAGUUGAGUCUGUUGUAUUUGUACACAAUUGCAGAUGGGUCUAUGCCUCUUAAAGGAAAGACGGACACUAUUUUAAAGUGAUCUUUAAUAUGUUUUUAUAUAAACAAAUUUGAAAGAGUUUGGUUGUCUUCACUUACCCAGUCCCACAGUAAGUCUUGUUUUUGUCUAAGUGUAACCCUGGACCAUGACUUCAUGUUACCUUUGCUUUGUCGUUUGGGUGGCUAACCUACAUUAACAUGAAGGCUGAACAUUUUUAAAUGUUUUUUUUUUUUUUUUCAAAAAUCGUAAUAGUGAUUUACUUGAUUAAUAAAUAAAGUCCUGUAUUUGAACUGUU
Molecule: RNA transcript, 4866 nt
Organism: Sus scrofa (pig)
Lineage: Eukaryota; Metazoa; Chordata; Mammalia; Artiodactyla; Suidae
Gene: ZDHHC20
Gene name: zinc finger DHHC-type palmitoyltransferase 20
Source: RefSeq, a predicted model, not a curated record